UUUUUUUUUUUUUUUUUGGAGGUGUUUAUAUAUUUUGGAGAUUAAUCCCUUGUCAGUCACUUCAUCUGCAAAUAUUUUCUCCCAUUCUCUGUGUUGUCUUUUGUUUUGAUAAGGGUUUCCUUUGCUAUGCAAAAACUUUGAAGUUUAAUUAGGUCCCAUUUAUUUAUUUUUGUUUUUAUUGUCAUUACUCUAAUAGGUGGAUUUCAGAAGGUAUUGCUGUGGUUUAUGUCGGAGAAGUGUCUUUAUAAGUCUCUUACUAAGAACAAAGAUGCUACAGGGGAAUGAAGGCCUGGUAGUAAGCAGUUACUUCAGAGUAAUAUCUUUCUACCUUUUCAGAGACACCACCCCCAUAUGAAAGUAAAUUAAUUUCAAAAUGUACUCAACAUAAUCAACUGUACAUCUAUAUAUAUACAUAUAUAUGUAUAUAUAUAUACACUCUCAACACAAAGGUAGAAAUGCUUCCAGAUUAGCAUAAAAUAGCUAACCUUUUACAAAAAAUUCUUAUGUAUAUGUUUAUCAUUAUUUCGAAUUUGUCUAUGUGGAUAUCAAGCCUUGGAUUUAAGUCCUCAUUCUACUACUUAAAACCUGCAAGGUCAGAGUUCCCAAUGUGGCACAAGGGGAUCAGCAGCAUCUUUGCAGUGCCAGGACACAGGUUCGAUCCCCACCUGGCACAGUGGGUUAAAGUAUCUGGAGUUGCUACAGCUGCGAUGUAGGUGCAGCUGUGGCUCAGAUCUUAUCCCAGGCCUGGGAACGCCAUAUGGCAUGUGUUGGCAAAAAAAAACAAAAAAAACCCAAAAAAUACGAAAAACCGGUACAGUCAGUUAGUCUCUCUGAGCCUGUUUCCUCAUAUAUAAAAUAGGAAUAAUUAGAUUGGCAUUGUUUAACUCACACCAUACUUGUGAAUGUAAGAUAAGAAAGAACAGAAACUCUCUGUAAAUUGUAGACUGCAGAGUGAAUGUAUUAUAAUUUAAAAAUGUGGAGUUCCCUUGGUGCUGCAGCAGGUUAAAGAUCCAGCUGUUGUCACUGCAGUGGUUUGGGUCAUUGCUAUGAUGUGGAUUUGAUUCCUGGCCUGGAACUUCCACAUGCUGCAAGUGUAGCCAGAAAAGAAAAAAAGAAAAAAAAAAAUUUUAACUGCAUUUUUCCUCACGGCAAACCCAUUUUUAUAAUCAGAAUACUUAUUAAAAUGCAAAGAAGUCUUAAACCAUCUUUGAGCUCAGUGGUAAAUAGCCUUCUGGGACCAAUGGCCACUCUAAAAGAGUUGGAAAAUAGUGUGAUCAUCUUAAGAAAAAUCCUCCUUUUUUUUCUUCAAGCUCCACCCAUGGCAUGUAGAAGUUCCCAUGCCAGAGAUGAACCCAGGCCACUGCAAUAACAAUGUCAGAUCCUUAACCCACUAUGCCACAAGAGAAUUCCAGAAAAAUCCUCCUUUUAAAAGUGUUUGGGGAAUUCUCUUAUGGCAUAGUGCAUUAAGGAUCCAGUGGUGUCAUUACAGUGGCUCUGGUCACUGCUGUGGCUGUUGGGGAGGGGAGGGUUCCUGGCCUGGGAACUUCCACGUGCACAGCCAUGGCCAAAAAAAUACUUGUUCUGCAUUGUACAGCAUUGUUCAAACCACCCAUGGAAAAUUGCCCUUUUUAGUAGUUAAAAAUCAUAAAAAAAUCAUCAAUUCCAUAUGAAUCAACCUGUAUUCAUAUACAGGUUAUUAGAGUAUAGGCAAAUUCAUGUACUGUAUGAAUUUCAUUAGUAUGUAGGCAAAUUCUAUAUACUAAAUUAUUAGUAUAUAAGCAAUUAAUAUCGGCAAUUGCCUGUGUACUAAAUUCAUUUGUAUAUAGGCAAAUUCAUAUAUACUAAAUUAUGAGUAUAUAGGCAAUUUAUAUAGGCAAAACUCAGAAAGAUCCAAGCCCUAGCCACAGCAAUCAGACAAACAAAAGAAAAGAAGAGGUAAAACUGUCACCAUAUGCACAUGGCAUGAUGCUCUAUAUAGAAAACCCUAAGGGCUCCACAUAAAAACUACUCAAACUGCUAUGAAUUCAGCAAAGUAGCAGGACACAAGAUUCACAUUCAGAAAUAAAUUGCAUUUCUGUAUACUAACAAUGAAAUAUUAGAAAAAGAAUAUAAAAAUACAAUACCUUUUAAAAAUCACACCCCCAAAAAUUAAAUACCUAGGAAUAAACCUGACCAAGGAGAUAAAAGACUUAUAUACUGAGAACUUUAAAACAUUAAUCAAGGAAAUUAAAGAGGAUUCAAAGAAAUGGAAAGAUAUCCUAUGCUCCUGGAUUGGAAGAAUUAAUAUUCUUAAAAUAGCCAUGCUAUCCAAAGCAAUCUACAGAUUUAAUGCAAUCUUUAUCAAAAUACCCAUGAGAUUUUUCACAGAACUAGAAUAGACAACCCAAAAAAUUAUUUGAAACUGUAAAAGAUCCAGAAUUGACAAAGCAAUCCUAAGGAAGAAAAACCAAGCAGGAGGCAUAACUCCCAGACUUCAGACAGUAUUACAAACCUAUAGUAGUCAAGACAGUGUGGUACUGGUAAAAAACAGACAUACAGAGCAAUGGAACAGAAUAGAGAACCCAGAAAUUAGCCCAGAGACCUAUGGUCAAUUAAUCUUCAACAAAGGAGGCAAGAAUAAAGAAUGGGAAAAAGUCUCUUCAGCACGUGGUGCUGGGAAAACUGGACAGCUGCAUAUAAAUCAAUGAAACUAGAACACACCCUUACACCAUGCACAAAAAUAAACUAAAAAUGGCUUAAAGAUUUAAAUGUAAGACAAGACACCAAAAACUCCUAUGAGAGAACAUGGGCAAAACAUUCUCUGAUAUCAACCUUACAAAUAUUUUUUAGGUCAGUCUCCCAAGGCAAUACAAAUGAAAACAAAAAUAAAUCAAUGGAACCUAAUCAAACUUGUAAGCUUUUGCACAGCAAAGGAAACCAUAAGAAAAACCAAAAAGACAACCUAUGGAAUGGGAGAAAAUAGUUGCUAGCAAUGCAACCAACAAGGGCUUAAUCUCCAAAAUAUAUAAACAACUUGUACAGCUCAACCGCAAAAAAACCCCCAAUUACCCAAUUGAAAAAUGGGCGGAAGACCUGACUAGACAUUUUUUCAAAGACAUACAGAUGGCCAACAGACACUUUAAAAAAUGCUCGACAUCACAAAUUAUCAGAGAAAUGCAAGUCAAAACUACAAUGAGGUACCACCUCACACCAGUCAGAAUGACCAUCAUUAAUAAGUCUACAAAUAAUAAAUGCUAGAGAGGAUGUGGAGAAAAGGGAACCCUGCUACACUGUUGGUGGGAAUAUAAAUUGGUACAGUCUCUGUGGAAAUAAGCAUGGAGGUACCUCAGAAAAUUAAAAAUAGAAGUACCGUAUCAUCCAGCAUUCCCAUUCUUGGGCAUAUAUCCGGACAAAACUUUCAUUGAAAAAGACACAUGCACCCCUAUGUUCAUUGCAGCACUAUUCACUAUAGUCAAGACAUGGAGGAGUGCCUGUCAUGGCACAGUGGUUAACGAAUCCGACUAGGAACCAUGAGGUUUCGGGUUUGGUCCCUGCCUGCCCUUGCUCAGUGGGUUAAGGAUCCGGUGUUGCCGUGCGCUGUGGUAUAGGUCGCAGACGCAGCUCUCUCCUCCAGUCUUCCCAGCCCACCCCAAUGGGGCUGGUCUUGGCAACACGUUCUCUGGAAAGUAUGAAAAUUUAACUUCCCAGGGAUGUCAAUCAUUGCCCUGACCACCACACUGGGGGCGGGGGCUGCUCCGUCUAAAACAGCGAGGCCUUGGACUCACAGGUAGGAACCACCUCUUCCCUUCCUUGCCCUGCUACUUCAUAGUUUCCUUUAUGAUUUCUAGUUCAGUCUUUCUGCUUAAGAAUAUCCCCUGAUUUGGGAGUUCCCGUCAUAGGCUUCUAUGAAGGUUCUACUGUUUCUUCAAACUCGUUAUCAUAUGUCCAAACGGUUCCUUCAGUCUUUUCUCAAACUCCAGGCUAUAAACCUGAAAUUCAGUUCUCUCUUCUUUUCUACUCCACUCGCUACCUCAAAUCACCAGUCAAGUUCAAAUCAUUCUACCAACUCAAUGUUUUUCCCAUUUGUUGGGUUUCUUAUUGACUAGUCCAAGGCCUUUGCAGGUUCGCUUGAGCAUGCAGGCUUCAAGCUGCUAUUGCUAUCUCCAGGAUUGAUUUCUGACUUUCUGCUUAAAGGAUCAUGCUUUAUAUACUUUAGAUCUCCUAUAGCAUCCAAAAUAGGCUUUCAGAAAAUGUUCAUUGAAUGAAUAGCUGGGAUUAAGAAUUAGGAAGUGCAGAAAAAGUCAUAUAUGUGUGGAAGUUCUUUUAUAUGUCUGGUUCUAUACAUCAGCUCAUUUAAUCUUUACAACAACUCUUGGGGUUGAUGCAGACACAAGACAUUUAUUUUUGUUAAUUUUUUUUACUGUGAUGAUGUUGGUUUAUAAUAACAAGAUUUACUAAUCUUGUGUAUGUGCUGUGUGUCCUUACCUCUCCUCUAUGUCUUGGAAGAAUUUUCUCCCUUUCUACUCUGGUUCUAAGGUUUUUUCGUUUUUGUUUUUUGACAGCCUAACCAUUUAAAAGUAUGUAUUACUUAGAAGACUGAAGACUGAUGGGAAUUCUAUCCUGGAAAAAAAAUCUGAAGGGGAAAAAUGUCCAGCUGCUAAUAAUCUUCUUCUUGGGUCACUGAGCAUUCAAGUUAAAUUACGUGAUUUUGGCUCCAAAUCUAUGGGGUUGAGACAUUUUAAGAUCCAUCUUUGGAGAAACAUUAACUUUACAAAGGCUCUACUAAAUUUCAGAUAAUAGUACGGUUCUAAGGUUUUGUGAUUCAGGCCUAAGAGAAUGGAGAGGGAGAGUCUGCAUCAGUCCAGGCUGGAGGAGAGCAGGGUGGGAUGUUGGCUUGCAGAGUCUCUUUUGUUAUGGAGAAUGCAGGCUAAGGGGAAAUUGGAGAGAAUUUAAAAUUGAAAAUAAUAUUCAGAAUAAAGAACUAAAAGGAGGGCAAAAGAAGGUAGAAAUAAAACACUAGUAAGCAGACUAGGGGUCAGAAGGGUUGUGCUGUUUGGAGAAUAUGCUUUGAGGCACCUUUUAGAGAAUGAGAAAGAAGAAAAAGGGAGAUCCUAAGUAUUCCUGUCAGUGACAAAUUGCAUCUUUUAAAAAAAAUUAUUCUUGGAGUUUCCUUGUGUCACAGUGGGUUAAGGAUCCAGUGUAAUCACUGCUACGUCUAGGGUCGCUGCUAUGGUGCAGGUUCAAUCCCUGGCCCAAGAAUUUCCACAUGCCUCAGACAUGGCCAAAAAAUAAAAAUAAAAAA
This 5281-nucleotide long non-coding RNA is filed under the name Sus scrofa (pig). RNAcentral describes it as "lncRNA (ENSSSCG00040058497.1)". The record is from RNAcentral. Lineage: Eukaryota; Metazoa; Chordata; Mammalia; Artiodactyla; Suidae.